CCUACGGGAGGCAGCAGUCGAGAAUCAUUCGCAAUGGGGGAAACCCUGACGGUGCGACGCCGCGUGGGGGAUUGAAGUUUUCCGAUUUGUAAACUCUUGUCAUGUGGGAGCACAUUAAAAAGGUAACUCAACAGGAAGAAGAGGCGACUAACUAUGUACCAGCAGCCGCGGUACUACAGAGGGAUCAAGUGUUGUUCGGAAUUACUGGGCGUAAAGGGUGCGUAGGCUGGUUAGUAAGUCGUGGGUGAAAGGCGCGGGCUCAACCUGCGGACGGCCGAUGAUACUGGGAGACUAGAGUGAGGGAGGGGGAAGUGGAAUUCCUGGUGUAGGAGUGAAAUGCGUAGAUAUCGGGAGGAACAUUAGUGGCGAAGGCGAGUUCCUGGACAUUAACUGACGCUGAGGCGCGAAAGCGAGGGGAGCGAAAAGGAUUAGAUACCCUUGUAGUC
This 446-nucleotide ribosomal RNA is filed under the name uncultured bacterium. Its description in RNAcentral is "partial 16S ribosomal RNA". It matches the Rfam family "Bacterial small subunit ribosomal RNA", at positions 338 to 795 of the family's 1533-position model. The record is from RNAcentral.